UCUAUUCCUGGUGGUUCAUCUGUCAAUGAAUUCAUUUGUUCAGUCAGCUGGUCCUCAAACAUUUGAGUGAUUCAGAUGUGAGAGGUGUUAUGCAGGGAGCUGAGAGGGAAGACAUGCCUCGAGGUGCUCAGUGUGUCCCAGGGGACCGCAUGCAAGUGAGUCAGCCCCUAUAGGACUGCACGCAGAAUCACAGGACGGAGGCUGACGCAAGGUGCUCUGGGAGCAGAGAUGGUGGCAGCCCAGGAGUUCCAGCAGGGUUUCAAGAGGAGGUGGUGCCUGAGAUGGAUCUUAAAGGAUAAGAGGACAGAAGAAGGCAACAGAUGAAUAACUGCAGUUUUUUACAUUUGGGCUAACAUGACCCUCCACUGGCUUAAAAUAGAAAGCUGCCAUCUCUUCCAGGCUGGUCCAGUUCAGUAGAAUUAUUUUCCCUGGGUAACAGAAACAAUGGAAAGCUGGAUCAUAUAAACAAAAUAACUGAUUGGAAGGCUGGAGGAAGUGCCAAAUUCAACUUUCUGUGGCUUCGGCUUAUCUUACAGAGACCUCCUGUCUAUGUGUUAUGUUUGCAGAGAAUAACCAAAUUUCAUCUGACAGCCUGAUGGUGAUUCCUAGUUGAUAAAAGACUGCUCCAAGUACCCCCCGCCCCCACCGCCCCAAAUCUUCAAAUCAAUUUGCAAAAGUUUACAAUAAACUAUCACUAUGUCAAAAAUGAA
Molecule: long non-coding RNA, 710 nt
Organism: Bubalus bubalis (water buffalo)
Lineage: Eukaryota; Metazoa; Chordata; Mammalia; Artiodactyla; Bovidae
Exons: 3
Source: RefSeq, a predicted model, not a curated record